This 278-nucleotide long non-coding RNA is filed under the name Gossypium barbadense (sea-island cotton). RNAcentral's name for it is "long non-coding RNA (GBAR_LNC003359)". Lineage: Eukaryota; Viridiplantae; Streptophyta; Magnoliopsida; Malvales; Malvaceae. The record is from RNAcentral.
GGAAUCUUAACCGGUUGGUGAAGCACUGGGGCAAAAUAUGACUUAAAGGGUAUCUUAGAGAAAACAACGAUCAAUUCUUUGAGAAGCUGAAAUGAAAAUGAUAAGAGAUAAAAAGAGGAAACUUCUUGGAAUCAAAUCAGUUGGAUAAUUAGGAAUUAAUUUUGGGCCCUAGAAUACCAUUGGUUUUAGUGGUUUUCAAAGCAUAGGAUUUUAUUUUAAUUGGCUUUUUAGUUUUUAUUUUUGUUAUUGUGUAGUCACGGCUUUAUUAUAUAUUUUUU